RNAcentral lists this small nucleolar RNA (130 nucleotides) under Meriones unguiculatus (Mongolian gerbil). RNAcentral describes it as "Small nucleolar RNA SNORA17 (ENSMUGG00000014870.1)". It matches the Rfam family "Small nucleolar RNA SNORA17". From Rfam's summary of the family: snoRNA ACA 17 belongs to the H/ACA family of snoRNAs and is predicted to guide pseudouridylation of the 28S rRNA at positions U4659 and U4598. It shares the same host gene together with ACA43. The record is from RNAcentral. Lineage: Eukaryota; Metazoa; Chordata; Mammalia; Rodentia; Muridae.
CCUGCCCAGGCACUGCAGAUGUGGCUGCUGUGUACCAUGUGCGUCAAUAGGUGGCACAGAGGGGAGAGGGUAUGCCUACACUCAAAGGUUCCUUACCCAUGAAUAUCUGAAUAAAUAACAGUCUAAUAUU